RNAcentral lists this ribosomal RNA (253 nucleotides) under uncultured bacterium. RNAcentral's name for it is "partial 16S ribosomal RNA". It matches the Rfam family "Bacterial small subunit ribosomal RNA", at positions 524 to 776 of the family's 1533-position model. The record is from RNAcentral.
GACAGAGGGUGCAAACGUUGUUCGGAAUUACUGGGCGUAAAGCGCGUGUAGGCUGCUCAGAAAGUCGGAUGUGAAAGCCCUGGGCUUAACCUAGGAAGUGCAUUCGAAACUUCUGAGCUUGAGCGCUGGAGAGGAAGGCGGAAUUCUCGGUGUAGAGGUGAAAUUCGUAGAUAUCGAGAGGAACACCGGUGGCGAAGGCGGCCUUCUGGACAGUGUCUGACGCUGAGACGCGAAAGCGUGGGGAGCAAACAGG